This 592-nucleotide ribosomal RNA is filed under the name Hylemya vagans. RNAcentral describes it as "partial 12S ribosomal RNA". The stretch from base 380 to 451 matches the Rfam family "tRNA". The record is from RNAcentral. Lineage: Eukaryota; Metazoa; Arthropoda; Insecta; Diptera; Anthomyiidae.
AAAAAUUUGGCGGUAUUUUAGUCUAUUCAGAGGAACUUGUUUUAUAAUUGAUAAUCCACAAUGGACCUUACUUAAAUUUGUAAUCAAUUUAUAUACCGUCGUUAUUAGGAUAUUUUAUAAAAAUGAUAAUUUCCAAAAUUUUUUUAAAAAAUAUAUCAGAUCAAGGUGUAGUUUAUAUUUAAGAAAAAAUGGGUUACAAUAAAAUUAUUUAUACGAAUAUAAAUGUGAAAUAUUUAUUGAAGGUGGAUUUGAUAGUAAAAUUAUAAAGAUUAAUAAAUUGAUUUUAGCUCUAAAAUAUGUACAUAUCGCCCGUCACUUUUGCUUUUAAGGUAAGAUAAGUCGUAACAUAGUAGAUGUACUGGAAAGUGUAUCUAGAAUGCAAUUUAAAGCUUAUUUAGUAAAGUAUUUCAUUUACAUUGAAAAGGUUUUUGUGCAAAUCAAUAUAAGUUGAUAAAUUUUAUUUAUUAAUUUAAUUUAUUCUAUAUUUAAUUUAUUAAAAAUAAUUAUAAAUUAAUUUGUUUUAGUAUUUAAUUAAUAAAAAAUAAUUUUAAUAAUAGUUUAAUAGUAUUGUAAAAGAAAAUUGAAAUAUUUU